This is an RNA transcript of Hippocampus zosterae (dwarf seahorse), 4124 nucleotides long. It is a transcript of the gene named actin binding LIM protein family, member 2, with no coding region annotated. The record is from RefSeq and is a predicted model, not a curated record. NCBI's taxonomy places the organism in Eukaryota, Metazoa, Chordata, Actinopteri, Syngnathiformes, Syngnathidae. The transcript is spliced from 20 exons.
UCCACGCCCUAGCUGUCUGCGUUUAGAGAGGCGUUGCCGCAGUGUCUGCGGCCCCUGAUACAUCAGCACCAUAAAAAACAGGAGUUACCGGACCUCUCGGUGGGGCCUUCCUAACGAAGAACUCCCCCACGCACCACGUAAGGUGGUUAGUGGGCGGUGCGCCGCAGCUGCUGGCAUCAUUCAUGCUGGGCCGGUGAGGAGAGCCUCUUUAUUUACAGCGCAUCAUCUGACCUGACACCAUGAGCAGCACUGUGAUCCAGCAGCAGGCUGUGCAAAGCCCGUCGGCGCAGCAGAAACCAGGACGAGGCCCCGUCCCCUGCCAGAACUGCGGGAAGCCUUGCAAAGGGGAGGCCCUGCGAGUCCAAAAUAAACACUUCCACAUCAAGUGUUUCGUUUGUAAAGUGUGCGGGUGCGAACUGGCCAAUGGAGGCUUCUUCCUGCGACAGGGCGAGUACAUGUGCACGCUGGAUUUCCAGCGUCUGUACGGUACUCGCUGCUUCGGCUGCCAGGACUUCAUCGAAGGAGAGGUGGUGUCCGCCCUGGGCAAGACCUACCACCCCCACUGCUUCGUCUGUUCCUCAUGCAAGCAGCCGUUCCCAGCUGGUGACCGAGUGACUUUUAAUGGGAAGGAGUGCGUCUGUCAAAAUUGUACCCAGCCUCUUCCUGCGAACAGUCCUGCACCCAUCCAGGCUGUCCACAACUGCUGCGGCUGCGGGAAAGAGUUUCAGAAUGAACAGUCCCUCGUAGCCCUGGACAAACACUGGCACCUCGGCUGCUUCAAGUGCAAAGUGUGUAACAAGGUCCUCAAUGCCGAGUACAUUAGCAAGGACGGGAUUCCCUUUUGCGAAAUGGACUACCACGCCAUGUUCGGCAUCCAGUGUGAGAGCUGCAAGAAAUAUAUCACCGGGAAAGUCCUGGAGGCUGGGGAAAAGCACUACCACCCAUCAUGUGCCCGCUGUGCCCGUUGUGAGCAGAUGUUUGCGGAAGGAGAAGAGAUGUACCUCCAAGGAUCUUCAAUCUGGCAUCCCCCAUGCAGACAAGCAGCAAAACAGGAGGAGAAGAAUAAGGUGACUCGGACUUCAUCUGAGAGCAUCACGUCUGUCCCGGCAUCCAGUGCCUCGGGCUCUCCCAACAGAGUCAUUUUUGCCAAGCUCGGAGAAGAGAUGCUAGACUACAAGGACUUGGCAGCCCUUCCGAAGACCAAAGCCAUCUACAACAUAGACCGGCCCGACAUGCUCUCGUACUCGCCCUACGUCAGCUACGCGUCUGAAGAAAGGCACUAUGGCGAGGGCGAUGGGAAGAAAUCACCGUGUCAACAUAGGCCCUCCAGCCCCAGUUCCAACAGCUCCAUGGGGGGCUACGGACGUUACACACCUUCUCGUUCCCCUCAAAACAACAGCCAACCAGGACCAGAAAUAGAUUGCCCGAGUAUAAUCGGGCCCCUCCGGCGUGGCGUCAAGUUCACCUCCAGCUUGGCCAGGGCUUCCCCUUCACAUCAAGCGCACCAUUCCAAGGGAACUGAAGGGUGUAGCGGUGCAAGUGGCAACGCGCUAUUGGGUGGAGGUAGCGGUGUGUCGCUACACCUGAACCCCACCACGUUGUCCAUGCUGCAGCAGCACAACUUCAUCCCUUACUUCCGAGGAAGUGAAAGUGGUCGGAGUACCCCCAGCCUCUCCACCUACUCUGACGGCAAAUCCCCAUCGUCCACCUCGACGUACGUGGCUGCCCCUCGCCAUUUCCAUAUACCAGAGACUGAGGUCAAAGAUAAUAUCUAUAGAAAACCCCCCAUCUACAAACAGCAUGCUUCCAGAACAUCCUGGCAGGAUGGCGAUGACGGCAAGAGGAGCACUUGGAUGAUCAUGAAGAGUGACAUUGAUGGGCACAUGGGUCCCGAAGACCUCGACCCGUCCAAGUCAACCUGCAGUUUGCCAAUGAAAACAUCUCGGCCAAAUUUUCCUCAUUAUAAAUCUGCAUCCUUGCCUGGUUACGGAAGGAACGGCAUCUACAAGGCUUCUGAGAUGGUUGAAGAUGAAGUCGAUCCAGACUCCCAAAGCUGGGGAGGCAUGAGAGGUACGCCCCCCCCCCCCCCCCCCACCGGCUCCUUCUUGCAAUACAAUUUAAUUUUUUUCGUGCGUUUCAUCAUAUUAACUCUCAUUUUUUUCCUUUUUUUUUUGGUUGCUCAGAGUACAAGGUGUACCCUUACGAAAUGUUGGCGGUAACACAUCGAGUCAAAGUGAAGCUUCCCCGAGACAUCGAUCGCACCCGACUGGAGAGACAUCUGUCGCCUGAAGACUUCCAGAAGGUGUUCGGAAUGACUCUGGAUCAAUUUGAGCGUCUGGCCCUGUGGAAAAGAAACGACAUGAAGAAGAGGGCUCGUCUUUUUUAGAAAGGAGCCCGCCAGUGGUCAGCGCUUGCCACUCCGCCCGCGCCCCCUCGCGCCAAAAGCUUUAUGUGUGCAAUACGAUGGCGAUGUUGGACUGGCGACCUUCUGGAUGAGCUGCAGGAAUCUUUGCAUGCCCCGUGCUUGUCGCGCCUCCCGCACUCAAACAUCUCUAUUAAGCUUUUUUUUCACGCCUGUGUUUACCUUCCCGUCAUUUUACCCGAAAAUCCAAAAUUCACAUUAAUCGCCUUGCAAAGUUCCCCGUUUUACAGGUUCAAAAUUAGCUUUUUUUUCCCCUCAAUUAAUUCCCGUGGAAUUAUGAUCUCUUUUCUUUCUCACAUACUACCAGUUUAUUCUUGUCACAUUACACUUUCUUCUUCAUCAUAUUCUGACUUUUUUUUUCUCAUGAUAAUACAACUUUUUAAAAUCAAAAUAUUGCAACCGUAUUCUUGUUUUUUCUGCAUAAGGCAGAAAAGGUUGUAUUGUUAUGAGAAAGAGGCUUGAUUUGUUUUCCUCUGUUAUUGUGACGACUUUACUCUUGUAAUAUGCCGACUACAUUCUUGUAAAAUGACAACUUUUUCAAAGUAUCGUGACUUUAUGUCUUGUGUUUCGACGACUUUAUUUUUGUUAUGUUCGAACAUACUGUACAUUUAACGCAUUCUGGUAACACUGGGAGAAUUCUUGAAAAUGUUCUCAUAAUUCUUGAGUUUUUCUCGUAACAUGACAACUUUUUUUCUCUCAUUACGAUGACUUCAUUCAUAUGACUUGACUCAUGUAACAUGACAACUUUUUCUUGUCAUAUUUCAGCAUUUUCUUCUUUACGAUUACGAUUGCUUCCUCCCGACAUUUUGACAUUUUUUCUUUCAAUGUUAAAACUUUAUUCUUGUAAAGUUGCAUCUUUUUCAGGUAGUAUUACAAAUGUCAUCUCAUAAUAUCAGGACCUUUCUUGUUGUAUUAUGACUUUAGUUUCCGAAUUGCUUAUGUAAUGGUCGGAUUUCAUUCUCAUAACUUUACAACAUUUCUCAUAUUAUUAUGACUUUAUUCUCAUAACAUUCUGACUUGCUCUUGACAUUACAAGUUUACUCUUGUAAGUUUGCAGCAUUUUCAGGCAAUGUUAUGAUUUUAUUAUAACAUUGUGACUUUUCUCCUAGCUUGGUUUCUUUUUUGUGGUUUGCUGCUAAAUUCUCAUCAGAACAAGAUGCCGUGCUUUUGUGUGUGUGUGUGGAAGGGGGUAUGUUUUGCACUCGUCUCAAUUGUUUGGAUUCACACACACUGUACCAUCUUUUCUUUAUGUUUUCGAUCUCACAUGACUGUUGGCGCCAUGAAUCCAAAACUAUGACAUAGUAUAUAAAAUCGUUUUAGCUUUAUUUAUUCAGGCCGCUUUGUUUGUUGCUCAAACGCAUCAUGGAAUACUGCUAAAGUAAAACUCACAACAAUAUUGCAAGAUGUACCGUAUGUAAGCAUCUACUACUGACAACAUAGACAUAUACAGUAUAUUGUAUAGGAUUUAUUUCUGUAUACAAGCCAUUGCAUGAUAAUGAUGCCUUUGUCGAAAAUGUUUGAGUGAAAUGAAGGAUCAGCUGCUCACCAUAACUUAUUUAAUUGUGAUAUGAUGGAAGGGAUUUUUUUUUAAGUUACAUACAUACAUAUCGAUGUUUUAUUUUGUUUUGCGCCUUGUAAGUCAAACACUAACUGUUCCAUGUUUCUAAUAUUCCUCUGCCAUUAAAGUGCUUUAUCCAACCUU